UUUUGGACAGUGGGGGCAACCCUGAUCCAGCCAUGCCGCGUGAGUGAAGAAGGCCUUCGGGUUGUAAAGCUCUUUCGGACGGAACGAAAUGGUUACGGUCAAUACCCGUGACUGAUGACGGUACCGUAAGAAGAAGCACCGGCUAACUACGUGCCAGCAGCCGCGGUAAUACGUAGGGUGCGAGCGUUAAUCGGAAUUACUGGGCGUAAAGCGUGCGCAGGCGGUUUCGUAAGCUGGAGGUGAAAUCCCCGGGCUUAACCUGGGAGUGGCCUUCAGGACUGCGAGGCUAGAGUGCGGCAGAGGGAGGUGGAAUUCCACGUGUAGCAGUGAAAUGCGUAGAUAUGUGGAGGAACACCGAGGCGAAGGCAGCCUCCUGGGCCAGCACUGACGCUCAUGCACGAAA
Molecule: ribosomal RNA, 403 nt
Filed under: uncultured bacterium
Lineage: Bacteria
Description: bacterial SSU rRNA
Rfam family: Bacterial small subunit ribosomal RNA
Source: RNAcentral